AAAUUCAAGUGGGAGUACUCCUUCUAAGCUAAAUAUCACCACGAGACCGAUAGCGAACAAGUACCGUGAGGGAAAGUUGAAAAGCACUCUGAAUAGAGAGUCAAACAGUACGUGAAACUGCCUAGGGCUCAAGCCCGUUGAACUCGAUUAUCCGAGCGGAGACAUUCACCUGCGGCCGGGGCGGUCACGUGCCGUUCCGCCGCAGGGCACUUGUCUCUUCCGCGCACGAGGACACUGCGAUCCAUUACGAAACAGCUUUCGCGUCGCAAGACGCGCAGGUCGCCCGACAGUUGCCCCCUGGUGCUUGGUUGCUUGCCCCACAGUAGCGACGCUCAGUUCUGAAGGCCUGUGCCGCGAGGUGGGGCUUACUGCACGUGGUGUUUGCAGUCGGGCGCGUGAUGGAUUCCCGCGUACACCGGACCGGGGCCGGCCCCUCUUUGCCCCGUCCGGACUGUCGAUCGGCAGUGAAAGAAUCGAGGUACCUUCGGGACCCGUCUUGAAACACGGAAAGAAAUUUCAC
This 520-nucleotide ribosomal RNA is filed under the name Heizmannia proxima. Its description in RNAcentral is "eukaryotic LSU rRNA". It matches the Rfam family "Eukaryotic large subunit ribosomal RNA", at positions 284 to 664 of the family's 3401-position model. The record is from RNAcentral. Lineage: Eukaryota; Metazoa; Arthropoda; Insecta; Diptera; Culicidae.